This 440-nucleotide ribosomal RNA is filed under the name uncultured bacterium. RNAcentral describes it as "partial 16S ribosomal RNA". It matches the Rfam family "Bacterial small subunit ribosomal RNA", at positions 338 to 795 of the family's 1533-position model. The record is from RNAcentral.
CCUACGGGUGGCAGCAGUGGGGGAUAUUGCACAAUGGGGGAAACCCUGAUGCAGCGACGCCGCGUGUGGGAAGACGGUCUUCUGGAUUGUAAACCACUGUCCCCAGGGACGAAAAUGACGGUACCUGGGGAGGAAGCUCCGGCUAACUACGUGCCAGCAGCCGCGGUAAUACGUAGGGAGCAAGCGUUGUCCGGAAUUACUGGGUGUAAAGGGAGCGUAGGCGGGGAUGCAAGUUGGGUGUCAAAACUACCGGCUCAACCGAUAGUCGCACUCAAAACUGCAACUCUUGAGUGAAGUAGAGGCAGGCGGAAUGCCUAGUGUAGCGGUGAAAUGCGUAGAUAUUAGGAGGAACACCAGUGGCGAAGGCGGCCUGCUGGGCUUUUACUGACGCUGAGGCUCGAAAGUGUGGGGAGCAAACAGGAUUAGAUACCCCUGUACUC